UACGUAGGGUGCAAGCGCUAAUCGGAAUUACUGGGCGUAAAGCGUGCGCAGGCGGCUUUGCAAGACAGAUGUGAAAUCCCCGGGCUUAACCUGGGAACUGCAUUUGUGACUGCAUGGCUAGAGUGCGGCAGAGGGGGAUGGAAUUCCGCGUGUAGCAGUGAAAUGCGUAGAUAUGCGGAGGAACACCGAUGGCGAAGGCAAUCCCCUGGGCCUGCACUGACGCUCAUGCACGAAAGCGUGGGGAGCAAACAGG
RNAcentral lists this ribosomal RNA (253 nucleotides) under uncultured bacterium. RNAcentral describes it as "partial 16S ribosomal RNA". It matches the Rfam family "Bacterial small subunit ribosomal RNA", at positions 524 to 776 of the family's 1533-position model. The record is from RNAcentral.